GGGGGUGACCAGGAUUCGACGGGGAUGAGGAAGCUCAGAACUGCGUACCGUGGUCUCCGUGUCCACGUUAAAGAAGCGGUAAACUAUCAAGUGCCAACUACAACUACGCACUGGCUGCUUAACUAGCUUAAGCAACCCGUUCCUUGUGCUUUUUGCCCAUCGGGGGUACCUGGAACGUCGAAUGAGAUGGGAUAGGGUGGUUUUGCGCCGAAGGGGACCGCCUGAAAUCCUGUCACAAGCAGGGUCCACUUUGGAUAGCGUGUGGUCAAUCCUGUCUACCGGAGUUCCCACAUGCGAACCUCAAAAGGUAGGCUAGGUACGUAAACGUUUUGAGAGGCUUCUCUUCGGACCGGGGUUCGACUCCCCGCACCUCCACCA
Molecule: transfer-messenger RNA, 378 nt
Filed under: Ignavibacteria bacterium
Lineage: Bacteria; Pseudomonadati; Ignavibacteriota; Ignavibacteria
Rfam family: transfer-messenger RNA
About the family: Bacterial tmRNA, also known as 10Sa RNA or SsrA, is named for its dual tRNA and mRNA-like properties. Its role is to liberate the mRNA from a stalled ribosome.
Source: RNAcentral